GACGAACGCUGGCGGCGUGCUUAACACAUGCAAGUCGAACGAGAGCGUAGAGAAAGUUUGCUUUUUCUACAAUCUAGUGGCAAACGGGUGAGUAACGCGUAAACAACCUGCCCUACGGAUGGGGACAACAGCUGGAAACGCCUACUAAUACCGAAUACGUUCCGAAAGUCGCAUGACUAUCAGAAGAAAGGAUGGCCUCUCUUUAUAAGCUAUCGCCGGAGGAGGGGUUUGCGUCUGAUUAGCUAGUUGGAGGGGUAACGGCCCACCAAGGGGACGAUCAGUAGCCGGACUUGGAGGAUGAACAGCCACAAUGGGACUGGGACCCGGUCCAGACUCCUACGGGAGGGAGCAGUGAGGAAUCUUCCGGAAUGGGGGGAAAGCUGACGGAGCAACGCCGGGGGAGUGAAGAAGGCCUUCGGGUUGUAAAGCUCUGUUAUACGGGACGAAAAAUCUUGUGAUUAAUACCCAUGAGAAGUGACGGUACCGUAUGAGAAAGCCACGGCUAACUACGUG
RNAcentral lists this ribosomal RNA (513 nucleotides) under uncultured bacterium. Its description in RNAcentral is "partial 16S ribosomal RNA". It matches the Rfam family "Bacterial small subunit ribosomal RNA", at positions 28 to 507 of the family's 1533-position model. The record is from RNAcentral.